GGUUGGGGCAGGUGAGGUGAGGGAAGGGUGAUGUGGAGGAUGGGCUGGGGUGUUUGCUGCAAGGUGGGUAGCUGAGGGUUGGCUCAGGUGUUAGGUAUUGGUUAGGAUCCAAUAGCUGCUGUCUGAGAGUCUGCUCGCCACCUCUUCUGCUGAGCCUGAUGGGACUGAAUCGACCUUCAGAUCUCAGCGAUGAGUCCUCUAGACUGCAGGUUCCACAGCAGUUGCAGCUCCCAUGGCCUCAGAUUGGAGCUGCCUGUGACAUGCAGAGAUGGAAGCACAGCGUCAGCUGUGGUGAACGGCAGCCUCUUUCAGCCCCCAGUGUCUCUCAUGGAAACCCAAGGUGGGAGAAAGAAGCAGAAGGAAAUUCUGGAACCAGAAACACUUCAGCAAUGAAGAUUGGAUUUUCUCUGAUAUGAAGAGCAAAAUAAAAUGUCUCCUGCAGACCCCUAAAGCUCUGUGCAUACUUUGUCUAUGCUUUCUAGACAUUCUUAGCCUUAGGUAUGAAAGGAAAUGAGGUGUUCCAAAAAUUAUGCAGAGUCUUUUUUUUUUUAAUGCUUCUGUUUAGAAUUGUAAAGCACAAACUGCGAGGACUGGGAAGAAUCUUUGAGCUUGUGGUGAGCUGAAAAGUGGAGCCAUUCAUUAGAUGUCCACAGUCUAAUCCCUGGAAGCCGCGAACAACAUGUUACCUUACAUGGGAAAUGGGAUUAAGACACAGAGUUUUUUUUCUGUUAUUGUCCAGUUGAGCAGGACAGCCUUUAGAAAUUUUUUUUUUUGAGCCAGGAUCUUGCUCUGUCAUCCAGGCUGAAAUGCAGUGGUACAAUCAUGGCUCACUGUAGCCUCAAACUCCUGGGCUCAAGCCAUUCUCCUGACUCAGCUUUCCAAGGAGCUAGGACUACAGGCAUGUCCCACCACACCUGGCUAAUUAAAUUUUUUUUUUUUUUUUGUAGAGACGGGAGAUUUGACUUUGUUGUCCAGGCUGGUCUGGAACUCAUGGUCAAUCUUCCUGUCUCAGCCUCCCGAAGUGCUAGGACCGUGCCUGAUCAGAAUUUUUAAUUUUAUGGAUUCUGAUUGCUAAAUUUAUCCUAUGGUUUUGAUGACCAUAGUUUCUUGAAUCCAAAUUAAGGCUCUCUGAUCUGACAAUGAGUGAGUUUAUGGGGAUAAUAUGACAGAGUAUUUGGAAUUGAGGGUGUCCCAUAAAAACUGGGGACACAUAUUCCCUGUCGUAAUACAUGACAUAGCCUCUCUCUCCCUUCUCACCUUCCCCACCCUGUGGCUUGUACAUUACAAGGAAGGGAGAGAGGUUGGAACCUUGCCACAAGGGUUUUCAGAGGAUUCUGCUAAUAUCUGAGCCAGAUCAGACUUUGGAAAGGCCUCCUGGGUCUAAAAAAUGAGGAAUCAUUGCUUCAAUCUUUGCAAUAAACAUCCUGGGUGACUUUCACCUCAAACCUCAGAGGAUUUCACGAUGCUACAGAACAUUCUGUGCUUUGUGGGUUUCCCAUCAGUUGGUGGAGAAAUCGAGCCAUUCAAAUGUGCUCUUGGUGGUGGAGACAGUGCAGCGUAGGCCAUGAAGCGGGGGUGGAGGGGUAAAGUAGCCAUGACUCCAUGAGCCUUCCGGCAGGCCUGGGGACUUACUCUUGGGUGUCUGUUGGGCCUGAGCAUUAGUUCUUGAAAAGACUAUUUAAGCAAUUCUUGUGACUCUGUGAUCAAGUUUUCCCAUAGAAAGAAGAGAGGUUAUGUAAAUUCUUCCUUAUAGAUCACAAGAUCAGCAGUUAACUCCAGCAUGGCCAAGGGCAGAUUGCAUGGUUUUGCUUCCUCUCUUUGGCUGAAUUAAGCUGUGUGCUUCUUGUGUUAUUUAAUGAACCAAAUCCUAAUUGAGGCAGAUCAGCGGGGAGUGAUGUGUUUAGCUGAGCACAGAGCGAGGGUGGAGAGAAGGGUUCAAUUAUUGGUGUGUUCUCUAUCCUGAGAUGAUGAUGGUAUUUUGUGAGAUUUUCCUACUGGAAUGAAUUCCCACGCUUGAAACCUACUAGGCUUGACUCAAAAUUUAUGCUUUAUUCUUCAAUCUUACCAUGUCAAAAUAAAGGAAAAAACCCAGAUAUUUCAUCUCUAAUGGUCCUUAAAA
Molecule: long non-coding RNA, 2119 nt
Filed under: Macaca mulatta (Rhesus monkey)
Lineage: Eukaryota; Metazoa; Chordata; Mammalia; Primates; Cercopithecidae
Description: lncRNA (ENSMMUG00000055276.1)
Source: RNAcentral